AAUAUUGGGCAAUGGACGGAAGUCUGACCCAGCCAUGCCGCGUGAAGGAUGAAGGCGUUCUGCGUUGUAAACUUCUUUUACCAGGGAAGAAAUGAUAUUUUUCUAAAUAUUUUGACGGUACCUAAGGAGGAAGCCCCGGCUAACUACGUGCCAGCAGCCGCGGUAAUACGUAGGGGGCAAGCGUUGUCCGGAAUUAUUGGGCGUAAAGGGUGCGUAGGCGGCCUUUUAAGUCAGAUGUGAAAGCCCACGGCUUAACCGUGGGACUGCAUUUGAAACUGGAGGGCUUGAGUAUCGGAGAGGGUAGUGGAAUUCCCAGUGUAGCGGUGGAAUGCGUAGAUAUUGGGAGGAACACCAGUGGCGAAGGCGACUACCUGGACGAAAACUGACGCUGAGGCACGAAAGCUAGGGGAGCAAAC
RNAcentral lists this ribosomal RNA (416 nucleotides) under uncultured bacterium. Its description in RNAcentral is "partial 16S ribosomal RNA". It matches the Rfam family "Bacterial small subunit ribosomal RNA", at positions 360 to 773 of the family's 1533-position model. The record is from RNAcentral.